This 277-nucleotide long non-coding RNA is filed under the name Gossypium raimondii (Peruvian cotton). RNAcentral describes it as "long non-coding RNA (GRAI_LNC007698)". The record is from RNAcentral. Lineage: Eukaryota; Viridiplantae; Streptophyta; Magnoliopsida; Malvales; Malvaceae.
GGUGGGAAAGAAAGGGAAAAAGAAAGAAGAAAAGAGAAGGAGAAUAGAGAGAGGGAAGGAGAAAGAGAAGGAAAAAAAAUAAAAUGAGAAGGAAAGGAGAGUUUGUUGUUUAGGGAAGAUUAGGUGUUUAAAAAAAGGUAAUUUUUUUUGUUAUAAAUUAAUGUUAAUUUAAUUUGUUUUUUUUUGUUAUUAUUGUUGAUUUAAUUUGGAUUUAAUUUUUAAUUUUAUUUUUGUAAGGUAUUAUUUGGUUAAAAAGAGCUAUUAAGGUAUGUUUGUA